CAAAUUUGGCCAUUUUUUUUAAAAAAAGUAGCGCAACCAAAAUAUCACCAAGGGGCCUGUAUCCCAGGAACCCAUCUUCGACAACAACUAUACUAUUGUAUACGAAAACAUAAAUAUUAAGAGUUUUUCCUCGAAAAAAAUGCCCGAACGAUGCGUUGUUUAUGAGUGUUCUAACACUGCAGACACAAAGAAUGGUAUAUUUCUAUAUCAGAUACCUUUUUGGAGUGACAAUUCGACCGUAGUGGCAAAACGAAAGAAAAUAUGGGUGAACUUCAUUCGACGCAGAAGAGACAAAUGGACGCCAACACGUUCAUCAGCUGUAUGCUCAAAGCACUUCACCGAAGACUGUUUUGAAUACGGUUCUUCUACAGUUCCUACAUACAAGACCCCCAGACUGAAAAGGGAUGAUAUUGGAGUUUCUGUGU
Non-coding RNA from Paramuricea clavata, 425 nucleotides. The record is from the annotation of a GenBank genome assembly. Lineage: Eukaryota; Metazoa; Cnidaria; Anthozoa; Malacalcyonacea; Plexauridae.